RNAcentral lists this non-coding RNA (24 nucleotides) under Arabidopsis thaliana (thale cress). The record is from RNAcentral. Lineage: Eukaryota; Viridiplantae; Streptophyta; Magnoliopsida; Brassicales; Brassicaceae.
AUCAUCAUUGGUAACGAAGUUUGC